UGGGGAAUAUUGGACAAUGGGCGAAAGCCUGAUCCAGCCAUGCCGCGUGAGUGAUGAAGGCCCUAGGGUUGUAAAGCUCUUUUGUGCGGGAAGAUAAUGACGGUACCGCAAGAAUAAGCCCCGGCUAACUUCGUGCCAGCAGCCGCGGUAAUACGAAGGGGGCUAGCGUUGCUCGGAAUCACUGGGCGUAAAGGGUGCGUAGGUGGGUCUUUAAGUCAGAGGUGAAAUCCUGGAGCUCAACUCCAGAACUGCCUUUGAUACUGAGGGUCUUGAGUUCGGGAGAGGUGAGUGGAACUGCGAGUGUAGAGGUGAAAUUCGUAGAUAUUCGCAAGAACACCAGUGGCGAAGGCGGCUCACUGGCCCGAUACUGACACUGAGGCACGAAAGCGUGGGGAGCAAACAGGAUUAGAUACCCGUGUAGUCCCUGAGCGGGCUGGCAAGGCGCAU
This 447-nucleotide ribosomal RNA is filed under the name uncultured bacterium. Its description in RNAcentral is "bacterial SSU rRNA". It matches the Rfam family "Bacterial small subunit ribosomal RNA", at positions 355 to 825 of the family's 1533-position model. The record is from RNAcentral.